CCUACGGGAGGCUGCAGUCGAGAAUCAUUCACAAUGGGGGAAACCCUGAUGGGGCGACGCCGCGUGGGGGAAUGAAGGUCUUCGGAUUGUAAACCCCUGUCAUGUGGGAGCAAAUUAAAAAGAUAGUACCACAAGAGGAAGAGACGGCUAACUCUGUGCCAGCAGCCGCGGUAAUACAGAGGUCUCAAGCGUUGUUCGGAAUCACUGGGCGUAAAGCGUGCGUAGGCUGUUUCGUAAGUCGUGUGUGAAAGGCGCGGGCUCAACCCGCGGACGGCACAUGAUACUGCGAGACUAGAGUAAGGGAGGGGGAACCGGAAUUCUCGGUGUAGCAGUGAAAUGCGUAGAUAUCGAGAGGAACACUCGUGGCGAAGGCGGGUUCCUGGACAUUAACUGACGCUGAGGCACGAAGGCCAGGGGAGCGAAAGGGAUUAGAUACCCCAGUAGUC
Molecule: ribosomal RNA, 446 nt
Filed under: uncultured bacterium
Lineage: Bacteria
Description: partial 16S ribosomal RNA
Rfam family: Bacterial small subunit ribosomal RNA
Source: RNAcentral